Molecule: ribosomal RNA, 497 nt
Filed under: uncultured bacterium
Lineage: Bacteria
Description: partial 16S ribosomal RNA
Rfam family: Bacterial small subunit ribosomal RNA
Source: RNAcentral
GAUGAACGCUGGCGGCGUGCCUAAUACAUCCAACUCGAGCGAACAGACGAGGAGCUUGCUCCUCUGACGUUAGCUGCGGACGGGUCAUUAACACGUGGAUAACCUACCUAUAAGACUGGGAUAACUUCGGCAAACCGGAGCUAAUACCUGAUAAUAUAUUGAACCGCAUGGUUCAAUAGUGAAAGACGCUUUUGCUGUCACUUAUAGAUGGAUCCGCGCCGCAUUAGCUAGUUGGUAAGGUAACGGCUUACCAACGCAACGAUGCGUAGCCGACCUGACAUGGUGAUCUGCCACACUGGAAGUGAGACACGGUCCAGACUCCUACGGGAGGCAACAGUCGGGAAUCGUCCGGAAAGGGCGAAAGUCUGACGGAGCACCGCGGCAUAAGUGAUGAAGGUCUUCGGCUCGUAAAACUCUGUUAUUCGGGAAGAACAAAUGUGUAAGUGACUAUGCACAUCUUGACGGUACCUAAUCAGAAGGCGGGGGCUGACUAGGUG